GAUGAACGCUGGCGGCGUGCCUAAUACAUGCAAGUCGAGCGAACAGACGAGGAGCUUGCUCCUCUGACGUUAGCGGCGGACGGGUGAGUAACACGUGGAUAACCUACCUAUAAGACUGGGAUAACUUCGGGAAACCGGAGCUAAUACCGGAUAAUAUAUUGAACCGCAUGGUUCAAUAGUGAAAGACGGUUUUGCUGUCACUUCUAGAUGGAUCCGCGCCGCAUUAGCUAGUUGGUAAGGUAACGGCUUACCAAGGCGACGAUGCGUAGCCGACCUGAGAGGGUGAUCGGCCACACUGGAACUGGGACACGGUCCAGACUCCUACGGGAGGCAGCAGUAGGGAAUCUUCCGCAAUGGGCGAAAGCCUGACGGAGCAACGCCGCGUGAGUGAUGAAGGUCUUCGGAUCGUAAAACUCUGUUAUUAGGGAAGAACAAAUGUGUAAGUAACUAUGCACGUCUUGACGGUACCUAAUCAGAAAGCCACGGCUAACUACGUG
Molecule: ribosomal RNA, 497 nt
Filed under: uncultured bacterium
Lineage: Bacteria
Description: partial 16S ribosomal RNA
Rfam family: Bacterial small subunit ribosomal RNA
Source: RNAcentral